This 425-nucleotide ribosomal RNA is filed under the name uncultured bacterium. Its description in RNAcentral is "bacterial SSU rRNA". It matches the Rfam family "Bacterial small subunit ribosomal RNA", at positions 358 to 774 of the family's 1533-position model. The record is from RNAcentral.
GGAAUUUUGCGCAAUGGGGGGAACCCUGACGCAGCAACGCCGCGUGAGUGAAGACGCCCUUCGGGGUGUAAAGCUCUGUUGCCCGGGACGAGGGCCUGUGAGGUGAAGAGCCUCGUGGGAGGACGGUACCGGGUGAGGAAGCCCCGGCUAACUCCGUGCCAGCAGCCGCGGUAAGACGGAGGGGGCGAGCGUUGUUCGGAAUUACUGGGCGUAAAGCGCGCGUAGGCGGCGCAUCAAGUGUAGCGUGAAAGCCCCCGGCUUAACCGGGGAAGGGCGGUGCAAACUGAUGGGCUAGAGUGUCGGAGGGGGAUACGGAAUGCCUGGUGGAGCGGUGAAAUGCGUAGAGAUCAGGAAGAACGUCGGUGGCGAAGGCGGUAUCCUGGACGAACACUGACGCUGAGGAGCGAGAGCGUGGGGAGCGAACG